GAUGAACGCUGGCGGCGUGCCUAAUACAUGCAAGUCGAGCGAACAGACGAGGCUCUUGCUCCUUUGACGUUUGGGGCGGACGGGUGAGUAACACGUGGGUAACCUACCUAUAAGACUGGGAUAACUUCGGGAAACCGGAGCUUAUACCGGAUAAUAUUUCGAACCGUAUUGUUCGAUAGUGAAAUAUGGCUUUGCUAUCUCUUCUAGAUGGACCUCCGCCGUAUUGGUUAGUUGGUAAGGUAACGGCUUACCAAGGCAACGAUACGUAGCCGACUGGAGAGGGUGAUCGCCGACACUGGAGGUGAGAAGGCGUCCAGACUACUAAGGGAGGCAGCAGAAGGGAAUCUUCCGCAAUGGGCGAAAGCCUGACGGAGCAAGGCGGCGUGAGUGAUGAAGGUCUUCGGAUCGUAAAACUCUGUUAUUAGGGAAGAACAGACGUGUAAGUAACUGUGCACGUCUUGACGGUAACUAAUCAGAAAGCCACGGCUAACUACGUG
Molecule: ribosomal RNA, 497 nt
Filed under: uncultured bacterium
Lineage: Bacteria
Description: partial 16S ribosomal RNA
Rfam family: Bacterial small subunit ribosomal RNA
Source: RNAcentral